AAUUGUCACUGUUCUCUUUAUUUGUUCAUUGACAAAUGUUUCUGGAAUAUCUACCACGUGACAGGCACUGACUACAGCUCCAAAACCAGAAAGGUAAAUAAGAAAUGUUCCCUGCCCUGAAGAACACCCUGUCCUGUGGGAUACAAAGUGAACAGACAUGUCCCACAGGAGGUAGCAAGUGUCAUCACAGGGGAAUCACAGGCCCAUGUGUCAUCUGAGGAAGAGCAGAAAUGCUUUCAGGAAGAGGUUCUACCCAAUCAGAUCUUGCCAAGGAUCAGGAUCAUUCUUUACCUCAAAUUAUGUUCUCCCAAUCUAUCCAGCAAAGCCAAAGGAACUUGGAGAUCUGGUGCCUGCACUUCAGCUGACAUGGCUGUGCUCUGGGCCAGGAGCCCCUCCCUCUGGCACUCUCUUCCAGGCAGUCCCUCGCAUUUCCCAGAACCGGGAAAACAGGAAGCGCCACUUACAUUAGGCGUUUCGUUUCUGGCCUUCAGGAGCGCAGUAUAUUGGAGAUACAAGCUAUUAAAUGAUAACAUUCUCUAAGAAGCCCAGAGCUUUACUAAAAACCACCCUCCUGAAGUCUAUCCAGUUUGUAGCACUUCUUUUACGGAAACAUGCCUGAUUAUUUCAUUAUUUCUUAAACUAAUAAACUCUGGAGCAUUCAUGUGUAGGGGUCUUGGAAACAAGAUUUGAACAGGAA
Long non-coding RNA from Myotis brandtii (Brandt's bat), 697 nucleotides. RefSeq lists it as uncharacterized. NCBI's taxonomy places the organism in Eukaryota, Metazoa, Chordata, Mammalia, Chiroptera, Vespertilionidae. The transcript is spliced from 3 exons. The record is from RefSeq and is a predicted model, not a curated record.